AUUGAACGCUGGCGGCAGGCCUAACACAUGCAAGUCGAGCGGAUGAAGGGAGCUUGCUCCUGGAUUCAGCGGCGGACGGGUGAGUAAUGCCUAGGAAUCUGCCUGGUAGUGGGGGAUAACGUCCGGAAACGGGCGCUAAUACCGCAUACGUCCUGAGGGAGAAAGUGGGGGAUCUUCGGACCUCACGCUAUCAGAUGAGCCUAGGUCGGAUUAGCUAGUUGGUGGGGUAAAGGCCUACCUAGGCGACGAUCCGUAACUGGUCUGAGGGGAUGAUCAGGCACAGUGAAAGUGAAAGACGAUCCAGGGACCUAGGGAAGGCACAGGGGGGGAAUGUUGGACACUGGGGGAAAUCCUGCACAAGCCAUGCCAGGUGUGUGAAGAAGGUCUUCGGAUGGUAAGGCGCUUUAAGUGGGGGGAAAGGGCAUUAAGUUAAAACCUGCGUGUUUUAAGGUAACCAGAAAAGAAGCACCGGCUAACUUCGUG
RNAcentral lists this ribosomal RNA (483 nucleotides) under uncultured bacterium. RNAcentral's name for it is "partial 16S ribosomal RNA". It matches the Rfam family "Bacterial small subunit ribosomal RNA", at positions 29 to 507 of the family's 1533-position model. The record is from RNAcentral.